This 2894-nucleotide ribosomal RNA is filed under the name Escherichia coli. RNAcentral describes it as "23S ribosomal RNA". It matches the Rfam family "Bacterial large subunit ribosomal RNA". The record is from RNAcentral. Lineage: Bacteria; Pseudomonadati; Pseudomonadota; Gammaproteobacteria; Enterobacterales; Enterobacteriaceae.
UUAAGCGACUAAGCGUACACGGUGGAUGCCCUGGCAGUCAGAGGCGAUGAAGGACGUGCUAAUCUGCGAUAAGCGUCGGUAAGGUGAUAUGAACCGUUAUAACCGGCGAUUUCCGAAUGGGGAAACCCAGUGUGAUUCGUCACACUAUCAUUAACUGAAUCCAUAGGUUAAUGAGGCGAACCGGGGGAACUGAAACAUCUAAGUACCCCGAGGAAAAGAAAUCAACCGAGAUUCCCCCAGUAGCGGCGAGCGAACGGGGAGCAGCCCAGAGCCUGAAUCAGUGUGUGUGUUAGUGGAAGCGUCUGGAAAGGCGCGCGAUACAGGGUGACAGCCCGUACACAAAAAUGCACAUACUGUGAGCUCGAUGAGUAGGGCGGGACACGUGGUAUCCUGUCUGAAUAUGGGGGACCAUCCUCCAAGGCUAAAUACUCCUGACUGACCGAUAGUGAACCAGUACCGUGAGGGAAAGGCGAAAAGAACCCCGGCGAGGGAGUGAAAAGAACCUGAAACCGUGUACGUACAAGCAGUGGGAGCCUCUUAAUGGGGUGACUGCGUACCUUUUGUAUAAUGGGUCAGCGACUUAUAUUCUGUAGCAAGGUUAACCGAAUAGGGGAGCCGAAGGGAAACCGAGUCUUAACUGGGCGUUAAGUUGCAGGGUAUAGACCCGAAACCCGGUGAUCUAGCCAUGGGCAGGUUGAAGGUUGGGUAACACUAACUGGAGGACCGAACCGACUAAUGUUGAAAAAUUAGCGGAUGACUUGUGGCUGGGGUGAAAGGCCAAUCAAACCGGGAGAUAGCUGGUUCUCCCGAAAGCUAUUUAGGUAGCGCCUCGUGAAUUCAUCUCCGGGGGUAGAGCACUGUUUCGGCAAGGGGGUCAUCCCGACUUACCAACCCGAUGCAAACUGCGAAUACCGGAGAAUGUUAUCACGGGAGACACACGGCGGGUGCUAACGUCCGUCGUGAAGAGGGAAACAACCCAGACCGCCAGCUAAGGUCCCAAAGUCAUGGUUAAGUGGGAAACGAUGUGGGAAGGCCCAGACAGCCAGGAUGUUGGCUUAGAAGCAGCCAUCAUUUAAAGAAAGCGUAAUAGCUCACUGGUCGAGUCGGCCUGCGCGGAAGAUGUAACGGGGCUAAACCAUGCACCGAAGCUGCGGCAGCGACGCUUAUGCGUUGUUGGGUAGGGGAGCGUUCUGUAAGCCUGCGAAGGUGUGCUGUGAGGCAUGCUGGAGGUAUCAGAAGUGCGAAUGCUGACAUAAGUAACGAUAAAGCGGGUGAAAAGCCCGCUCGCCGGAAGACCAAGGGUUCCUGUCCAACGUUAAUCGGGGCAGGGUGAGUCGACCCCUAAGGCGAGGCCGAAAGGCGUAGUCGAUGGGAAACAGGUUAAUAUUCCUGUACUUGGUGUUACUGCGAAGGGGGGACGGAGAAGGCUAUGUUGGCCGGGCGACGGUUGUCCCGGUUUAAGCGUGUAGGCUGGUUUUCCAGGCAAAUCCGGAAAAUCAAGGCUGAGGCGUGAUGACGAGGCACUACGGUGCUGAAGCAACAAAUGCCCUGCUUCCAGGAAAAGCCUCUAAGCAUCAGGUAACAUCAAAUCGUACCCCAAACCGACACAGGUGGUCAGGUAGAGAAUACCAAGGCGCUUGAGAGAACUCGGGUGAAGGAACUAGGCAAAAUGGUGCCGUAACUUCGGGAGAAGGCACGCUGAUAUGUAGGUGAAGUCCCUUGCGGAUGGAGCUGAAAUCAGUCGAAGAUACCAGCUGGCUGCAACUGUUUAUUAAAAACACAGCACUGUGCAAACACGAAAGUGGACGUAUACGGUGUGACGCCUGCCCGGUGCCGGAAGGUUAAUUGAUGGGGUUAGCGGUAACGCGAAGCUCUUGAUCGAAGCCCGGUAAACGGCGGCCGUAACUAUAACGGUCCUAAGGUAGCGAAAUUCCUUGUCGGGUAAGUUCCGACCUGCACGAAUGGCGUAAUGAUGGCGGGCUGUCUCCACCCGAGACUCAGUGAAAUUGAACUCGCUGUGAAGAUGCAGUGUACCCGCGGCAAGACGGAAAGACCCCGUGAACCUUUACUAUAGCUUGACACUGAACAUUGAGCCUUGAUGUGUAGGAUAGGUGGGAGGCUUUGAAGUGUGGACGCCAGUCUGCAUGGAGCCGACCUUGAAAUACCACCCUUUAAUGUUUGAUGUUCUAACGUUGGCCCCUAAUCGGGGUUGCGGACAGUGUCUGGUGGGUAGUUUGACUGGGGCGGUCUCCUCCUAAAGAGUAACGGAGGAGCACGAAGGUUGGCUAAUCCUGGUCGGACAUCAGGAGGUUAGUGCAAUGGCAUAAGCCAGCUUGACUGCGAGCGUGACGGCGCGAGCAGGUGCGAAAGCAGGUCAUAGUGAUCCGGUGGUUCUGAAUGGAAGGGCCAUCGCUCAACGGAUAAAAGGUACUCCGGGGAUAACAGGCUGAUACCGCCCAAGAGUUCAUAUCGACGGCGGUGUUUGGCACCUCGAUGUCGGCUCAUCACAUCCUGGGGCUGAAGUAGGUCCCAAGGGUAUGGCUGUUCGCCAUUUAAAGUGGUACGCGAGCUGGGUUUAGAACGUCGUGAGACAGUUCGGUCCCUAUCUGCCGUGGGCGCUGGAGAACUGAGGGGGGCUGCUCCUAGUACGAGAGGACCGGAGUGGACGCAUCACUGGUGUUCGGGUUGUCAUGCCAAUGGCACUGCCCGGUAGCUAAAUGCGGAAGAGAUAAGUGCUGAAAGCAUCUAAGCACGAAACUUGCCCCGAGAUGAGUUCUCCCUGACUCCCUGAGAGUCCUGAAGGAACGUUGAAGACGACGACGUUGAUAGGCCGGGUGUGUAAGCGCAGCGAUGCGUUGAGCUAACCGGUACUAAUGAACCGUGAGGCUUAACCU